CUUGGUCAUUUAGAGGAAGUAAAAGUCGUAACAAGGUUUCCGUAGGUGAACCUGCGGAAGGAUCAUUCAUUGAACAUGCAGACCUUGGAUUGAGGCUGCACAUGUUUUUCUUGACCCAAGGCGUUGAUGCCUUCCACGUUAAGUGGUGUAAGAGGGGGGAAAGCUCAUGGUGCCAACUUAUGGGCAUUUUUAUCCUCAGCAGAAGUGUGGUCAUUGAGGAUUGGAUUGUGUCAAAGCAGUCCGUAUGAUAUGAUUGAGGGUUGGCACUCAAUGUAUCUCUAAACCAUUUUUAAAUGGCUUAUCUACAACUUUCAGCAAUGGAUCUCUUGGUUCUCGCAUCGAUGAAGAACGCAGUGAAAUGCGAUAACUGGUGUGAAUUGCAUCCAUGUAACUCUAAUUUACGAAUAACACCAAGUGAAUCAUCGAGUCUUUGAACGCAAUUGCGCCCUCUCGGUCGCUUCCAAUUGGGGGUUGACUCAUAGGGGGUACAUCUGUUUGAGGGUCAUUUGUACCUCUCAAAGGAUUGGCUUUAGAGCUAAUUCUUUGGAUUUGGGUCUUGCUGUGGAGUUCUCUCAGCUUACCUUGAAAGCAUUAGCGAGCUUUUUCUGAGUCUUUUUUUUUUCAGAUUGAGGCGUUCUUAACGCGUUUACGUCUCAAAAGAAAGAAAGAACAGAGUCCUAAAGCCUGCUUCUAAUGGCCUCAUUUUUUUCAAUGACCUCAAAUCAGAUGAGACUACCCGCUGAACUUAAGCAUAUCAAUAAGCGGAGGAAAAGAAACUAACAAGGAUUCCCUCAGUAACGGCGAGUGAAGAGGGAGGAGCUCAGUUUUGAAAUCUGGCAGUCAUUCACCGUCCGAGUUGUAAAUUGAAGAGAGUGUCAUCCACACUGGACCAUGUCUAAAUUGUAAUGAUCCACAGUCCUUUGAUGGAGUAUCAGAGAGGGUAAUAAUCCCGUCUUUAACGUGGACUCCCAGUGUUUAUGUGAUGCAUUCUCUCAGAGUCGAGUAGUUUGGGAAUGCUGCUCUAAUGGGAGGUAAACUCCUUCUAAAGCUAAAUAUUGGCGAGAGACCGAUAGCGAACAAGUACCGUGAGGGAAAGAUGAAAAGAACUCUGAAAAGAGAGUCAAACAGAACGUGAAAUUGCUGAAAGGGAAGCGUUUGGAGUCAGAUGCGUCUUCAUGGAAUAACGACUCAGUUAGCAGAGACUGAGGUCAGUGACUUGAAGAUGGGCCAGCACUCAUGUAGACCAUUGAAAAAGGGGUCAUUGGAAUGUAGCUCAAUUUAUUGAGUGAUUAUAGCCUUGAUUCAUAUACAAUGUGUGUUAUGUGAGAUUGACAGCACGACUUCAGUGCUUGCUUGACUGGCAUAAUGGCUCUAAGCGACCCGUCUUGAAACACGGAC
RNAcentral lists this ribosomal RNA (1398 nucleotides) under uncultured fungus. RNAcentral's name for it is "eukaryotic LSU rRNA". The stretch from base 713 to 1398 matches the Rfam family "Eukaryotic large subunit ribosomal RNA", at positions 1 to 666 of the family's 3401-position model. The record is from RNAcentral. Lineage: Eukaryota; Fungi.